UGGGGAAUAUUGCGCAAUGGGGGGAACCCUGACGCAGCCAUGCCGCGUGAAUGAAGAAGGCCUUCGGGUUGUAAAGUUCUUUCGGUAUUGAGGAAGGUUGAUGUGUUAAUAGCACAUCAAAUUGACGUUAAAUACAGAAGAAGCACCGGCUAACUCCGUGCCAGCAGCCGCGGUAAUACGGAGGGUGUGAGCGUUAAUCGGAAUAACUGGGCGUAAAGGGCACGCAGGCGGUUAUUUAAGUGAGGUGUGAAAGCCCCGGGCUUAACCUGGGAAUUGCAUUUCAGACUGGGUAACUAGAGUACUUUAGGGAGGGGUAGAAUUCCACGUGUAGCGGUGAAAUGCGUAGAGAUGUGGAGGAAUACCGAAGGCGAAGGCAGCCCCUUGGGAAUGUACUGACGCUCAUGUGCGAAAGCGUGGGGAGCAAACAGGAUUAGAUACCCUGGUAGUCCACGCUGUAAACGCUGUCGAUUUGGGGGUUGGGGUUUAACUCUGGCGCCCGUAGCUAACGUGAUAAAUCGACCGCCUGGGGAGUACGGCCGCAAGGUUA
Molecule: ribosomal RNA, 547 nt
Filed under: uncultured bacterium
Lineage: Bacteria
Description: bacterial SSU rRNA
Rfam family: Bacterial small subunit ribosomal RNA
Source: RNAcentral